AUGGGUGGGCAUUGAAGGCAUACUCACGGUCAAGCCCUGGGGGCCCAGACCUUGAGCUGUGUAAGGGGCCCCCAAAAUGGCGCUGCUUCCUGUUCUACACCAAACCUGUGGAGCCAGACUGAGCCCAUCAUCAGCCUCUUGUCCUCAUCUGGUGGUAAGUAGGCAAUCCAAUAUAUUAUUAGUGGCACUAAUCUCUAAUUUACCUCACAUUAAAUGGAUACUAUAGUCACCAGAAGCACUA
Molecule: non-coding RNA, 241 nt
Organism: Pelobates cultripes (western spadefoot toad)
Lineage: Eukaryota; Metazoa; Chordata; Amphibia; Anura; Pelobatidae
Source: the annotation of a GenBank genome assembly